UAGGGAAUCUUCCGCAAUGGACGCAAGUCUGACGGAGCAACGCCGCGUGAGUGAAGAAGGAUUUCGGUUCGUAAAACUCUGUUGUUAGAGAAGAACAGCGCAUAGAGUAACUGUUAUGCGUGUGACGGUAUCUAACCAGAAAGCCACGGCUAACUACGUGCCAGCAGCCGCGGUAAUACGUAGGUGGCAAGCGUUGUCCGGAUUUAUUGGGCGUAAAGCGAGCGCAGGCGGUCAAUUAAGUCUGAUGUGAAAGCCCCCGGCUCAACCGGGGAGGGUCAUUGGAAACUGGUUGACUUGAGUGCAGAAGAGGAGAGUGGAAUUCCAUGUGUAGCGGUGAAAUGCGUAGAUAUAUGGAGGAACACCAGUGGCGAAGGCGACUCUCUGGUCUGUAACCGACGCUGAGGCUCGAAAGCGUGGGUAGCAAACAGG
Molecule: ribosomal RNA, 429 nt
Filed under: Bacteroidota bacterium
Lineage: Bacteria; Pseudomonadati; Bacteroidota
Description: Bacteroidetes bacterium partial 16S ribosomal RNA
Rfam family: Bacterial small subunit ribosomal RNA
Source: RNAcentral